CGACCCUACAGGGUUGCGCCGGCCUCCGGGUUGCACACCGCCCAGAAGGUGGAGUGAGGUGAGCCGUCGCCAACAGCGCCGAGCCAGGACAGUUACCCCAG
Molecule: small RNA, 101 nt
Filed under: Pseudomonas aeruginosa PAK
Lineage: Bacteria; Pseudomonadati; Pseudomonadota; Gammaproteobacteria; Pseudomonadales; Pseudomonadaceae
Description: P24 ncRNA
Source: RNAcentral